This is a long non-coding RNA of Gadus morhua (Atlantic cod), 1445 nucleotides long. The record is from Ensembl. Lineage: Eukaryota; Metazoa; Chordata; Actinopteri; Gadiformes; Gadidae.
GCCACUGUUUCCUCCCCUUCCUUCUGCACGAGGUGGACCAACAAACACACAGGACAGCAACGGAUGAGUCCGCAAUACAAGCUGUUGGUACAAUACACUGCCUUUUGUUUUGGCUAGGUGACUGCAAAUGAGUGGAGUCAUCUAAGAGGUUAUUUUUGACAAUUAUGGUCUAUCUGGAAGCCUUCCUCAGCGUUAUCUUCUUCAUCAGCGCUCUUCCUCUGGAUUAGGGACGUUUACGACAGCCUCGUUGGGGGAAACCCUUGUUUUGAGCUCUUACUAAGACCCAUGGACUAGCGGAAUGGGGCGAAUGUGUGUGGAAGGGAGGAGGAAUGAAGGGCGGCUGGGAGAAGGGAGCGGCAGAGACCUGAUGAGAGUGGGGGGGCUGGUGGUGGUGCUCUCCCUCAUAGUGUCCUCUUCAGGUGCCUCGCCUAAUUCCCCAGGCAUUAGCCUGCCACCAUUGAAUGAGUCUGUGGCAACUGGCAAACGUGCAGAGUUCAGCUGUGGCAUGGCCAAUUCCCUCAAUAAGAUGCUCAAGUUCACUAUGUAUGCUCCCAAGAAAAACCUCAGCAUCACCUGUGUUGGAGAUCAGACUGAUGCGACCGAGGUCAACUUCGACCGCUACUUUGGUGAAUGUAAGGGAGAGCCAAACAACCUGCUGGCCGUGUUGUCCAUCGUUGACGCCAAAUUAUCGGACAACGGCAUUUAUGUCAGAUGCCAGUCCCUUGAAGAAAGCUCUGCUGCAUUCUUAAACGUCGAAGAACCAUCCAACAGCUUCGGUAUCAUCAUUGGCUGCACUAUUGGAGCAUUCAUCACCACUCUACUGGUCUUUGGCGCGCUUUUCCACGUUAUUCGGGGAUCCGAGAAACUACAGCAAUGCUUCAGAGGUCCAGUUGAGGUGGAGGAGGACAUCACCAUGGCCACCGUGGAGUGAGAAAGGAGUGAGAAGUGGAGUGAAACAAAGCUUUUAUUUGCAUGCACUUAUAAGAAUGCACUGCAGAAUGAUGAGUAACUACCUUAAGUUGAAAAGUAGAAAAGCAUAGUUUAAAUCUUUGCGUAGGAUUUUAAUUGAACUAUUAACACAUGUUUGCAAAUAUGUUGACAGCCUAACACUACUUUUGCAAACUGUCAGAUAACCAACAAUAAUUUGAGAGUAUGAUAUUUAUCUCUACAUGUAUUUUAGAGUAGAAGAAUAUAUAUCUUACUUCACUACAAAUAUGAACAAACACCGUACAAAAUACUACCAGGAUACAUUCCUGUAAUAUGAGAGGAUUUUACUGUAAUUUAUUUAUAUUAUAUUUUUAUUGUACUUAGCCAAACAAAUGAAUACUUAUUGCCCAAUAAAUAUAAUUAUUUUCUCGGGUACUACAUUUAUUGUUUAUAUACUUUAUUACUGCUGCAACUUGAAUGAAUUUAAUUUGCAAUUCUUUUAAUUCUUUUAAUUUGAU